GCCGGGGUGGCGGAAUUGGUAGACGCGCAUGGUUGAGGGCCAUGUGGGAGCUUAUCCUGUACGAGUUCAAGUCUCGUCCUCGGCAUCA
RNAcentral lists this transfer RNA (88 nucleotides) under Bacillota bacterium. RNAcentral describes it as "tRNA-Leu". It matches the Rfam family "tRNA". Rfam says of the family: Transfer RNA (tRNA) molecules are approximately 80 nucleotides in length. The record is from RNAcentral. Lineage: Bacteria; Bacillati; Bacillota.